RNAcentral lists this long non-coding RNA (1879 nucleotides) under Cinara cedri. The record is from RNAcentral. Lineage: Eukaryota; Metazoa; Arthropoda; Insecta; Hemiptera; Aphididae.
CGGGGAUUAUAAUCGCGUUUAUUAAAUUUUAUUAAACAAAACGAUAAUGAUAACCAUUAACGAUAAUAUGUUGGCAACGACACGCGAUAUUUGAAAUCUGACUCUUAAUAAUAAUAAUAAAAAAAAUCAUGAGUGUACCGCGUUAUAAAAUCCUAACCGCUAAUCAUAUUAUUGGAUAUAAACGGAUAUAUUAUUAUUUUGAGAAGUACUUUAAAAAUAUGUCGACGGCCGCUGCAGGUGUAAUAUAUUGUACACCGGAAUAUAUCAAGUGGAAACAGAUAAAACCGUUUUUUUCAUAUGGUUAGUAUAAGUGUAGUAUAAGUAUACAUACUUAUUACCUGAGUAUAGAAGUACAUUUAUACAUUGCGAUUUAAUCGCAUAUAUAUUAUACGAGAAACUGUAUCGUUUCUCUACUUUCGCUCGUCUAAAAUUCCAGAAUGUUGGAAACGCGCAUAACAUUAUAAUAUAGCGAACGUUUUGUGCGCCCUACAUAUAAAUAUUAUCUCUGUGGAUUUAACCGGCCAUAUGAAUAUCAUUAGUAUUAUAAAACGCGGACGAUUUAUUAUUAUAAUUUAUAAGUAGUUGUAUUAGGUAGAUGGAUGACAUUUAUUAAGUGAUCUCGUUUCAAAACAGAAAAAAAAACCAGUAGGAAUACCGGCAAGGUUAAUAAUAUAACUCAAUAUUUUAUUGUAAUUUGGUAUCUUAAACUGUAAUACGUUUAUCAACGGAUUUCGGUUUUUUUCAUAUCUAUUACAAUAAAACGUUUAAAUGUAAAAUCGGUUAUGAUUUUGCAAAAUACUCUGAAUUUUCGACCUUUAAGACACGGCUCGGAUCGCGCGAAACGGGCAAUUUUCUAUUUUUAUUUUUUUUCAUAUAGAAAAUCGUGCGUUGUUGGUUUGUUUAGCGGUAUUUUUAAUAAUAUUUAAUAAAAAUCGCACACCUCUCCGAAAAAAAACCACUGAAUCGCAAAGGUCAGGAAAUUUGAGAACGAUUUUUUUAUAAUUCGAAACUAGAUUAUCCCAAAUAUUGUAAAUAUUUACGUGAUAUAAUAUUACUGUAAUAGAGAGUAUUCGGAGAUAAACACAAUUAAGAAUACGACUAGACUUAUACUUAGGUAGUAAGGAAAUUUAAAUUCUUAUCGACUAUCAAGUAAGAUAUAAGUAGUUCGUCAAAUUUUCGCACGGAAAUUAAUAAUCUAGUGAACACCGGUGGAAGUUUCGUAGGUAUUUAUUUGAACUUAAAAAUUAACAGUGUUGGGGGAGGGGGCUUAUGUACAAGCUCUUGAAUUCACCUAUAAUAACUAGGAUCCGGAUUUUGAUGGUUUUAAUUUUAAUUUUUCGAUACUCCAGAUAGAUACGGCACCGAAGUGUCCGAAUAUAUUUACCAUUGUGGAAUCGCGCUAGGUACCCGAGAACUCCGGACACCUUGUAAUAUGAAACGCUGCGCGAUAAAACAGAUCGGUAAAUAGAGUUUCAAAAGUUAAAUUUGGAAUUUAAAUUUCUCGCACUUUUUCUGUUAUUAGGUCGUGUUUUAUUUAUUUUUAGUGCAUUAUAUUUUAUGUAUUAUAUGAAUUAUAGGCGUUUCGAAAUAUUAUUGCCGAUAAACGUAGUUUUUAUAACAUUUACCUGGAUGGCAAAAUGAUACGUUAGGAUAGUGCACUUUGAGUCCAGAUUAACCAAACAGAGUGGCGAAAUAGGUUACUGCUUAGGUUGGCGAGCUUUUGCGGUUUAGAUAUUAGGCAUGAAAAAUUGUGUUUAUUGUGUCUAUACUAUUGUCGUAGUAGAAUUAUGAAAACUUGAAAAGAUGGCUAAAAAUAUAUUUGUCUAGAGCGGCAAAAUAUUUUAAAUCGAUCCUGUUUUUCCGGCGUUAUUGCGUUAAA